Molecule: small RNA, 309 nt
Filed under: Histoplasma ohiense
Lineage: Eukaryota; Fungi; Ascomycota; Eurotiomycetes; Onygenales; Ajellomycetaceae
Description: hypothetical lncRNA
Source: RNAcentral
CCACGGCAAGUUGAUUUGACUCUCCCUAUCGUUUGUUCAACCUGUUCUGCCUGUCACAGCAGAGAUCUCACUCUCUGUGGGAGGAACGCUCUCGUACAAGGAUUCAGGAAUAGCGUUGACACGCGGAGCACAAGGACACAGGGUGAUGAAAGGCCACGAAGUCUCAUCACCAGGCCCAGCUAAUGAACCGGCGGCAGGUCCCUCUCACCUCGGGGAAGGGAAGGCGAGAGCAUAAACGCGGUUCAGCACACCAGCCUCUGUUUAGUUACAUCCGUACUCGUAGAACUCUCAACAAAAUCUCACAGCCCC